This 3426-nucleotide long non-coding RNA is filed under the name Homo sapiens (human). Its description in RNAcentral is "HSALNT0315311". Lineage: Eukaryota; Metazoa; Chordata; Mammalia; Primates; Hominidae. The record is from RNAcentral.
GUAGGUUCUUUAAGCAUUGACGAGCUAAAGACCAUUUUAAAUUCUAAGCCUAGGGAAGCUUACAAUGGAACUAAUCAGAUGUUUUUAUGUCGGUUUGUUCCGAGACAGUGGAAGACUGGAGGUCAUGUGCUUGUGUCUAAUGUUUAGCAAAAUCUUAGUGAAACGAGGGCGAUAGGAAUGGGGGCUGGGGAAGACUUAGAUGGGAUAAAAAGAGGUGCGGCUGGAAGAACUAAAUCACUUUAAAACUUCUGAAAAUAAAUGUUGACCAUUGUAGUCAGAGGAGUAAAAUGUUCAGAGAAAUGGGGAUGAUUAAACAAGAACGGCAAGCCAGAUUGAGUCAGAAAAUUAUCUUCCUGCCAGAAAUUCUGUCUCCCACAACGGCAUCAGGGGGUGGUUACUUGCCCAGGGUGUAGUCAGUUUUUAAAAAGCUUAAGGGUUACCAACAUAUUCCUAAAUUUCCUGAAUUUGCUGUGAUUCCAGGAUUCAUUUAAACUCUUGAGACUGUUUUACUUUCGGCACGAAAUCAGCUCAUGGGCUUUAUAAAUGUAGAACCUACUGCAUUAUAGUUCUUCUUUUUGUUUAUUCUAAAACUGUUAGUAGCAGCCAGCGUAUUAUAUGAUUUGGAUUGGGCCAUGAACAACCGUAACGAGUGAUAAAGCACCCUUUCCUGUUCCAAUGCAAAGAACAACUAUGAAAAGAAAGUACUGGCAAAUUUAUCAUCUUGUAGUUAGUUCCUGGCCAAAGAAAAUGGUAAGGCCAUUCUUUUAAGCAGUUAAAAAAAAAUGGGGAUGGGCUCUUAAACUUUGGCAUGCUAAGGCCAUUCUUUUAAGCAGUUUAAAAAAAUGGGGAUGGGCUCCUAAACUUUGACAUACUAAAGCAGUCGUCAUUUAGGUAAAAUCUAAGUCUUAAUGGAAAUCGUGAUUUCAUAUCUACUGCAGCGUUAGCAAUCACAUAAUGAUAACUUAAAUCAGUAAAUCGUUGAACUCGGUUCUCUAAUCUUUGAAGAAUAGAAAUACUUUUUAUCCCAAAAGAUGUUUUGAGAAUUAAAUUUGCAGAGAAUUUUUUAGGUCUUUAGUUGUAAUUUAUAGAGCUAGGUCUUUUAACUUUAGUGGAAACCAUGCCCUCCAAACCCAAGUGACUGGAGUCAGAAUGUGAAAUAAGACGACAUAAAAUCCCUAUUUCUUAAGGGGCUGGGCGAAAGUAAUGGAACAAAAUGUAACGUUAUGCUAUUGUGGCAGAGAUAGCUAAUGGAAUGUUUCAUUUCUAAGUCUGUAAUUUCAGUAAUUGUUAGAGGCAGUUUUCCAUCAAUAAGUUAGAUCAAAUGGUUAAACCCAAUAUGAAUUUAUAAAAGCUUAAUUUAAUUUUGGAUUGAUUUACCAGAUGUUUAAGGUGGUUAUAAUGGGUAGUGUUGAUGGUGGUGCUUUUGGAAAAAUGAGUAUUAUAUGCCUGCUCAUCCCUUUACAUUAUCUUAUCAUAUAAACUUCUUGAUUACUCGUUAUGAUACUCUUAAAUCGUACAUUUAGAGGAAAAAUCUUAAAGUAAUCUGUAAGACCAUUUCUCCUUAAAAUGAUAUAUUAUGAGAUGAAAGGAAAGAUAAAGAUAAUUUAGAAGAGAUCCAGAAGUGGACUAAAUUUCUGGUAAGGAGGGGGCUAAAGAUGUUAAAAGACAUCUUAGGAAAAGCAUAUGAUUUAUAACUUUUAAAAGUGUCAUUUAGAUGGUUAAGGAUUUGUGUUUAAUAGUUCUCUUGAAAAUAUUGUUUUCCAAAAGUUUAAAAGCCCUAGCUACUUUUAUACAUUUGCCCUUAAAAAAUGUACAGAAUUUAUUACAUCAAACUGCUACAAAGAAAUAAGAAUUCUGAUUUUUGCAAAUUUCCUUGACUUCCAAAGACCUUUGAUGUUCAAGCAAAAUGUAGCAAUUUGGUAAAAGUAAAGGGUGCAUUUCGAACUGAAAUAAACAUAAUGUCCUAUUAAGACCUGUAUUAUAUUUUAUGGAAUUUAACUUAGAAUGUAAGAUAUUAGCUCUGCGGUUUUACAAGCUUGUUUAAAUUCUGCAAUGUAGGGCAACAGAAAAUCCAAACAAAAUCCAUUAAUGACUAUAUUACUUCUUUAUUUUUCUUUUUAAAUAUUAUAUGUGGCCAGUCAGGAUGAAGUUUUUUUUAAACUACAUUUCCUAGUUGGACAGAUCAAGAGUCUUAUAUUUUAGUAGGGGAAACAACCACCAAAGAAAUAAGCAAAAAAAUAUAAUUUCAAAUAUUCAUAAGUGUUAAGAAAAAAAUGAAACAAUAAUGCAAGGUGGGAAAGGAGACAGUGUACCUUACUCAGAUGUACUGUAGGAAUGGGAUGUUCUGGCUCUCAUUACCAGGGAUCCCCUUGUCUUCCCUGGGUUUAGCCAAUGAGAACUGCUGGCAGGAGGUCAGAGGGUAGUAGAAAAAAGAAUUUGGGUUAUUUCUUUCCCCCUCCCUUUGAGCUAGCCUGAGAUUCUGGUGGUGAUGGCAUUCCUCUACAACUGCGUACCCUGUCAGAUACCCGCCCAUGGCUCUAACUUUCACUGGGCUGCUUCAGAUCCAGCUGUGGUGAUGGCAUCCCAAUGUACUAGCCCCUGAAUGCCUCAGCAUUCCUUGUUUGGCCUCUUAACUCUGCCCACAUUUCUGUAAUUGUUCUUUACAUUAGUUUGUACUCAAAAUCUCCUUGGAACUGUGCCUUCAGUUUCCUGCUAGGACAAGGGUUUGAAUUUCAGAGCUGGCCUCACUCUGCGAUGAGAACAAAUGUCUUGCCAUGUGAUACUAACUUUCCAUUACAUGCUGAAGCAUUUGCAGUCCCAGAGGCAAAGAAUUUAUGGUUGGUCUCAAACUCCUGGGUUCAAGCAAUCCUCCUGCCUUGGCUGCCCAAAAUGCUGGGAUUACAGGUGUGAGGUUCUUCACAGGGGAAUGAAGUGAGCAGAAAGUAGCUGCUUGCCAAGUGAAAGAAGCAAUGGACCAAUAUAGGCUUUGAGGUGCACUUGUAAGCUGGUGUGUUGGGAACUGCCGACGUGGUUAGAUGAUGCUCUCUGAUGGUCUUUCUGUUAUAUUAAGGAGUAGAGAUUUUUAAAUAUUAGAUAAUUUUAUGUUUCUAUUGCUAAAUUGGGGUUGAGGGGGAUGUUGGUCUGUCAUUCUAUUUCACUUCAAAUGAAGAUGCAUUUUUAUCUGGAACGUAUGUGGAACUGUCUUGGAAUUUGACUCUGCCGGGUCAGAUUAUGUCCACACAGCAUACAAGCAAAUUCCCAGGAUACCAGGUUGCUGUUUGAGGUUGGCUGCUGCUAAUUCCUCUCCUAGAGAAGAGGACACUCUAGUUCUAGCCCCAGCUCUGCAACUGGCAGAUCACCUCAGCUCUCUGGGCCUCUGUUCUUCCUCCUCUGAAAAAUAAGGAGGCUGAACUAGACAAUUCCUAG